UACAGAGGGUGCGAGCGUUAAUCGGAAUUACUGGGCGUAAAGCGCACGUAGGUGGCGACGUAAGUCGGGUGUGAAAGCCCCGGGCUCAACCUGGGAAUUGCAUUCGAGACUGCAUUGCUGGAGUACGGAAGAGGAGGGCGGAAUUCCCGGUGUAGCGGUGAAAUGCGUAGAUAUCAGGAGGAACACCGGUGGCGAAGGCGGGUCUCUGGACAGUUCCUGACACUGAGACACGAAGGCCAGGGGAGCAAACGGG
RNAcentral lists this ribosomal RNA (253 nucleotides) under uncultured bacterium. RNAcentral's name for it is "partial 16S ribosomal RNA". It matches the Rfam family "Bacterial small subunit ribosomal RNA", at positions 524 to 776 of the family's 1533-position model. The record is from RNAcentral.